This 739-nucleotide ribosomal RNA is filed under the name uncultured bacterium. RNAcentral describes it as "bacterial SSU rRNA". It matches the Rfam family "Bacterial small subunit ribosomal RNA", at positions 56 to 792 of the family's 1533-position model. The record is from RNAcentral.
UGCAGUCGACGGCAGCACGGAGCUUGCUCUGGUGGCGAGUGGCGAACGGGUGUGUAAUAUAUCGGAACGUACCCUAGAGUGGGGGAUAACGUAGCGAAAGUUACGCUAAUACCGCAUACGAUCUAAGGAUGAAAGUGGGGGAUCGCAAGACCUCAUGCUCGUGGAGCGGCCGAUAUCUGAUUAGCUAGUUGGUAGGGUAAAAGCCUACCAAGGCAUCGAUCAGUAGCUGGUCUGAGAGGACGACCAGCCACACUGGAACUGAGACACGGUCCAGACUCCUACGGGAGGCAGCAGUGGGGAAUUUUGGACAAUGGGCGAAAGCCUGAUCCAGCAAUGCCGCGUGAGUGAAGAAGGCCUUCGGGUUGUAAAGCUCUUUUGUCAGGGAAGAAACGGUGAGAGCUAAUAUCUCUUGCUAAUGACGGUACCUGAAGAAUAAGCACCGGCUAACUACGUGCCAGCAGCCGCGGUAAUACGUAGGGUGCAAGCGUUAAUCGGAAUUACUGGGCGUAAAGCGUGCGCAGGCGGUUUUGUAAGUCUGAUGUGAAAUCCCCGGGCUCAACCUGGGAAUUGCAUUGGAGACUGCAAGGCUAGAAUCUGGCAGAGGGGGGUAGAAUUCCACGUGUAGCAGUGAAAUGCGUAGAUAUGUGGAGGAACACCGAUGGCGAAGGCAGCCCCCUGGGUCAAGAUUGACGCUCAUGCACGAAAGCGUGGGGAGCAAACAGGAUUAGAUACCCUGGUA